Molecule: ribosomal RNA, 477 nt
Filed under: uncultured bacterium
Lineage: Bacteria
Description: partial 16S ribosomal RNA
Rfam family: Bacterial small subunit ribosomal RNA
Source: RNAcentral
GAUUAACGCUGGCGGCGUGCAUAACACAUGCAAGUCGAACGAUGAAACUUUAAUGAACCCUUCGGGGAGAAUUAAAGCGGAUUAGUGGCGAACGGGUGAGUAACGCGUGAGUAACCUGCCUUACACAAGGGGAUAGCCUUUGGAAACGAAGAAUAAUACCCUAUAAAACCAUAAAAGCACAUGCAAUUAUGGUCAAAGUGAUAGCGGUGUAAGAUGGACUUGCGUCUGAUUAGCUAGUUGGUGAGAUAAAAGCCCACCAAGGCAACGAUCAGUAGCCGGCUUAAGAGAGUGUACGGCAACAUUGGGACUGAGACACGGCCCAGACUCCUACGGGAGGCAGCAGUGGGGAAUUUUGCACAAUGGGGGAAACCCUGAUGCAGCGACGCCGCGUGAUUUAGAAGGCCUUCGGGUUGUAAAAAUCUUUUGUAUAGGAAGAAAAUGACAGUACUAUACGAAUAAGGUCCGGCUAAUUACGUG